Molecule: ribosomal RNA, 253 nt
Filed under: uncultured bacterium
Lineage: Bacteria
Description: partial 16S ribosomal RNA
Rfam family: Bacterial small subunit ribosomal RNA
Source: RNAcentral
GACGGGGGAGGCAAGCGCUAUCCGGAAUCACUGGGCGUAAAGCGUCUGUAGGUGGUGAUGCAAGUCACGGGUGCAAAACUCUGUCUCAACCGGAGGAAAGCCAGUGAAACUGCAUGACUAGAGUGUGGGAGAGGUAGAAGGAAUACCCUGAGUAGCGGUGAAAUGCGUAGAUACAGGGAAGAACACCGGAGGCGAAAGCGUUCUACUGGAACACAACUGACACUGAGAGACGAAAGCUAGGGGAGCGAAUGGG